Molecule: ribosomal RNA, 373 nt
Filed under: uncultured organism
Description: bacterial SSU rRNA
Rfam family: Bacterial small subunit ribosomal RNA
Source: RNAcentral
CGUAGGGUGCAAGCGUUGUCCGGAUUUAUUGGGCGUAAAGAGCUCGUAGGCGGUUUCGUAAGUCAGAAGUUAAAUCACCAGGCUCAACCUGGUGCUGCUUUUGAUACUGCGAUGACUUGAGUGUGGCAGGGGAGAACAGAAUUCCACGUGUAGCGGUGAAAUGCGCAGAUAUGUGGAGGAAUACCGAUGGCGAAGGCAGUUCUCUGGGCCAUUACUGACGCUGAGGAGCGAAAGCGUGGGGAGCGAACAGGAUUAGAUACCCUGGUAGUCCACGCCGUAAACGGUGGGUACUAGGUGUGGGAAGUAACCAACACUUUCCGUGCCGGCGCUAACGCAUUAAGUACCCCGCCUGGGGAGUACGGUCGCAAGACUA